This is a long non-coding RNA of Zalophus californianus (California sea lion), 1790 nucleotides long. RefSeq lists it as uncharacterized. The transcript is spliced from 4 exons. The record is from RefSeq and is a predicted model, not a curated record. NCBI's taxonomy places the organism in Eukaryota, Metazoa, Chordata, Mammalia, Carnivora, Otariidae.
CUCCCGUCCCCCCCCCACCCCGCGCUGCGCUCCUCGGCACGAGUCGCCCCCUCCCCGCCCCGCGCUGCGCUCCUCGGUCGGGAGGGACCCGGGACCCGCGGCAGCUCUCAGCCCACCUGCGGUCCUUCAGGGCCCUGCUCCGGCGCCAGUCCUGCGCUCGCAGAGCUGGCUGGGUUUAGGGAAACCUUCCGGAAGGAGCAAUGCUGGAGCGGCGGUUUUCCCAGCCCGGGAGGCCCGCAGUCGGGGGCAACGGGGAGCUGAGAGGUGGGGUUUGUGACACAGGUGUAGUUCUGCCAUCUUUGAGGGAGAAAGACGGGAGACAAGAGAGGUCUGUGGAGGCAGAGCUGCGGAAAUCCUGCCAGAAAACGCUGCUGAGCUCCAGAUACAGCAGGAGAGAUGGAGAGAUGUCCCUCAGCCUCACCCGACUGCGGUCACAGAGGAUGACCUUGUGCGCUGGAAGUUCUUCCUGCAGUCUGAUCCCGCACCCGCUUCAGGCCAGUUGGGUGGAUUCCAGUCUGUGCUUGGGGUGGAGUGUCUGACCCCCUGCAGAAGUGGAGGCCCCCUCAGGACACCACGGAAAACCUGGACACAGCGACCCAGGCUCUGAGCAGCCUGGAGGUGUCUGUGGGGAGACAGGGAAAUGAGGUGGGGACAGUCUAGAGAGCGUGAGCAAGAAACGCGGGACGGCGCAGCGGGGUGAAGAUCUGAAGUGCCGUGGGCUGGCAGCAGCUGGAUUUGCCUCUGCUCUUAGUGGACCAGGAAGGACGACGGGUCUCUCUCUCAGGACCUGGUGCAGCGGCCUGCGUUCUGGGAUGACCCUUUGCUUCUCAAGUCCCACCUGGGCCAGAAGAUGAGAGCAUAUGGCCUCACGGGUCCUUCCAGACCAUCCGUUCCACAUUCCAAUUUCUAAUUUAAGUUUGUGCUGAGUACUGAACAGUGAGCUGAGGCAGAGCUAGAAGGAAGGAAACAUGACUGUGAACGUUCCGGAUGAGUUACUCUGUGCUCUGCUUUAGUGUCAGGUCAUUCAUUCAUGUUUUCCCAUUUUUGCCUUCGAGGACCUAACUACCUAAUCUAAUACUUAACAUUCAAGUAUGUAGCAGUCACAUUUCCAGAAGGCUUUUCACUUCAUAAUCUGCUUUCACAUGGAGCUUUCCUUUGAUCCACAGAAAACUCUGGCAAAGAUGUUGGGUGGGCUUGCAGUGUCCUCACUGUCUACCUGGGGACUCCCUCUCUAGUUAGUAGGGGACUGAGAGAGCAGAGCUGGGCCUCGAAGACGGUAGUUCUCAUUCCAUGACCGGCGCCGGGUCCCCAGGUGGAGGAGACCAAGCAGCCCACCCACUCCAGGAAUACAAGGCUGGACGGAGAAGGAGCCAAGCGCCACACUGUGUGGGGGGGAGGCAUGAACACCCCUUGAGCCAUGGGGCCACCACUCUCUGUGUGCCCCCCAGGCUGCCACUGCCCCACGCCGGCCUGCUCUGGGGCUCUGUUUCUGUGUUCUGGGGCCUCUCCCUAAGUGGUCAGUGGGAUGAGGGGGUGCACAGAAGAUGUUUCUGGUCCCGAGCCCACGGGACAGACAGACCCACAGCUGAGUUUCUUCUACUGUGAAGACCUUGAUCCUGUUCACCUUCAUUUGUGCUGUCGCCGUCUCCUUUGGCUGCAAAACCUGGAUCCAGGGGCACCUGGGUGGCUCAGUGAGUUGAGCAGUGGACAUUCAGCCCAGGUCGUGAUCUCAGGGUCCCGGGAUCGAGUCCUGCAUCAGGCUCCCUGCUCAGCGAGGAGUCUGCUUGAGA